Small nuclear RNA from Chionomys nivalis (European snow vole), 190 nucleotides. RefSeq annotates it as U2 spliceosomal RNA. The transcript has a single exon. The record is from RefSeq and is a predicted model, not a curated record. Lineage: Eukaryota; Metazoa; Chordata; Mammalia; Rodentia; Cricetidae.
AUUGCUUCUUGGCCUUUUGGCUAAGAUCAAGUGUAGUAUCUAUUCAUAUCAGUCUAAUAUCUGAUACAUCCUCUAUCUGAGGACAAUAUAUUAAAUGGAUUUUUAGAAGUAGGGUUGGAAUAGGAGCUUUCUCCAUCCACUCCAUGCAUUGACUUGGUAUUGCAGUACCUUCAGGAUUGGUGCAACCCCU